Molecule: ribosomal RNA, 873 nt
Filed under: Sporobolomyces aff. pararoseus 1 MCA 3691
Lineage: Eukaryota; Fungi; Basidiomycota; Microbotryomycetes; Sporidiobolales; Sporidiobolaceae
Description: LSU rRNA
Rfam family: Eukaryotic large subunit ribosomal RNA
Source: RNAcentral
AGCGGAGGAAAAGAAACUAACAAGGAUUCCCCUAGUAGCGGCGAGCGAAGCGGGAAAAGCUCAAAUUUGUAAUCUGGCGUCUACGACGUCCGAGUUGUAAUCUCGAGAAGUGUUUUCCGUGAUAGACCGCAUACAAGUCUCUUGGAACAGAGCGUCAUAGUGGUGAGAACCCAGUACACGAUGCGGAUGCCUAUUACUUUGUGAUACACUUUCGAAGAGUCGAGUUGUUUGGGAAUGCAGCUCAAAUUGGGUGGUAAAUUCCAUCUAAAGCUAAAUAUUGGCGAGAGACCGAUAGCGAACAAGUACCGUGAGGGAAAGAUGAAAAGCACUUUGGAAAGAGAGUUAACAGUACGUGAAAUUGUUGGAAGGGAAACACAUGCAGUGAUACUUGCUAUUCGGGGCAACUCGAUUGGCAGGCCCGCAUCAGUUUUUCGGGGCGGAAAAGCAUAGAGAGAAGGUAGCAGUUUCGGCUGUGUUAUAGCUCUUUAUUGGAUUCGCCCUGGGGGACUGAGGAACGCAGCGUGCUUUUAGCAUGAGCUUCGGCUUAUCCACGCUUAGGAUGCGGGUUUAUGGCUGUAUAUGACCCGUCUUGAAACACGGACCAAGGAGUCUAACAUGCUUGCGAGUAUUUGGGUGUCAAACCCGGAUGCGCAAUGAAAGUGAAUGGAGGUGGGAAGCGCAAGCUGCACCAUCGACCGAUCUGGAUUUUUUAAGAUGGAUUUGAGUAAGAGCAAGUAUGUUGGGACCCGAAAGAUGGUGAACUAUGCCUGAAUAGGGCGAAGCCAGAGGAAACUCUGGUGGAGGCUCGUAGCGGUUCUGACGUGCAAAUCGAUCGUCAAAUUUGGGUAUAGGGGCGAAAGACUAAUCGAACCA